CAGCUGGCUCGGUUUCAGUGUUACUGCCGGUACUGCUCCACAAGAGCAACGUUACACUGUUUGAUCAGUCAGUGAGACAAUGACAGUGGAUAAUGACCUUAAUCGAUCUUUAAUAUUCUCACACAGCGAGGAAACAACAAACAAACAAACAAACAAACAAACAAACAGCAGCCAUUGAACUACCAGCAGCUUCAUUGUCACUGUGUUUGUCUUUGUUGUUCGAGAGGCUGUUCGCUUGUCGCUUUCACUGAAUGUUCAUCAACAGGUUCAAGUAUCCGGAGCGACCGCGAACUUUCCGUCAUGGCGUCAGUUCGCCUGAGCAGCCCGGUGGAGAGUCUGUUCCCUGGUGGAGAGUCAUUGUGGACUAGAGAGGGAAUACCGGGAAUAUCUGCUUCAUGGAGACGUUUGGAGGACGAGAGGAAGAAGAAAAGAGGACAUAAGACGAAGAACUGGAGUUUGUUGUGAGUUAGAAGGAGGACUGCUGCUGAGGCUCUGUGGGAACUAUGGAAGAGUCUUCAGGUUGAAGGCUGAUGUCCAGAGUUACAGGAGGACUGCUGUUGACACGGCCUGCAGGAAACACAGAAGAGUCUUCAGAUAUUGGAGAGGUCCGUGGGGUGAAAUCCAACCUCAAAAUUAAGGAAAUUCUGGACCCUCAGGCUCCUGUAACCCAAAUCCCAUCGCUCCCAACCAGAACCCCGGACACGCUGCUGUAACCGUCUUCCACUGCGAUGCUGUGGUUCUGCUUCCUGGAUCACCCCUCCCCUCCACAAUGAAGUCUAAGAAGACUUCAUUGUGGAGGGGAGGGGUGAUCCACAAAGACGACUUCUUUGGGAAGAUGGGUGUUAUGCAUGUUAAUGUUGAAUAAAAUUAUUUUAAAAUCCAUAACCCCCUGCAUUUGUCUCUCUGGAAACCCGGGAGGGGACACGGCCCCCUCCUCUCCCUCUGCAGCGGGGUGACACUCCAGGAACCUGGCAUCCGGCGCCGAGCGAGCCUUGAACCAGACACCUCUGCAUUCUGGCCACUCCCAUGCACACUGCGCCACCAAGCUCCCUUCAUACUAUAACUCCUUCUCCGGGCGCUUUUAUCAUUUUACUUUGGCUGCUGGACCACAAAAUUCACUCAGCCUCAUAAGAGAAUCGAACACACAACCUCUGGUCUCCUGAUCACUCUUCUAACACUCUGCACUAUUUGAUAUAAGACAGUCUGGGUUUCUAACAGCUUUUGACUUGUUUCUACAAACAUCUGACUUCAUAAUUCAGAGUUGAGCAAGGCUCGAACCCCACUUCCAAUCAGACAAUCAUCUGCUUAUUCACAGACAGUACCACUGACAGUACAGUCUGUGUCAGUUGUUACUUUUCUUGAUCUCUUUGAGGAGAGAACACACAAAAUGUAACCUUGGAUCAUCCUUUUGCAGCUCCUUAUCUCACUGAGCUAUACCUCAGGCUGGUAAUUUGCUGCUUUGUAGUUGUAUUUGUUGUUCACAUCACUGAGGAGAAACCUUCAAAAGUCUCACAACACAUGUGUUUGGAUUUGAACCCUCAACCUCUGGUAUCAACCACAUCAGCUGCUUAUCUUCCUGAGCUAUUCCUGCUGAGGCUUUUAACUUUUCUCCUGCAAAUUUAUGGACGUCACAGGUAUUAGUGCUUUAAAAAAAAUCCAUCAAUAAUAGCUCAGUGAGAUAAUCUGCUGAUGUUUUUCAGUUUUCCCUUCAGCAACAUGAACAAUAAAUACAACAACAACGAACCAGUGACUUGUAAUCCUCAGGUGUAACUCGCUGAGAUAAGGUGCUGCUACCUGAUGAUCCUAGCUGUGUACCUGUUAACUAGUUUGUUUGUUUGUUUGUGUUUGGCUGACCUUAUAAAAGUCACAACGAA
Dicentrarchus labrax (European seabass) is the source of this 1874-nucleotide long non-coding RNA. RefSeq lists it as uncharacterized. The transcript has 7 exons. Lineage: Eukaryota; Metazoa; Chordata; Actinopteri; Moronidae. The record is from RefSeq and is a predicted model, not a curated record.